UCUGAAUCAAUUAAGAUGAUCAUGAUUUUUUUCUCUUACUAGUUAAUGUGGUUAAUUAUAAUUUUCAAAUGUUAAACCAACCUCGCAGUCCUAGAGUAAACCCCAUUUGGUAAUUGUGUAGUAUCGUUUAAUAUCUAUAUCUAUAUUGCUGUUUUCUUGUAUAUAUUUUCAUGAGAGAGAUUGGCCUGUAGUCUUGAAAUGUCUUUGUCAUGUUUUGAUAGAGAGGUUAUGCUGACCUCUUUUCUAUUGUCUUUUUGUAUUGUCUGAAACAAUUUGUAUUUUGAGUGAGGUCAUCUUCGUCUCUCAAGACCAGCCCAGUUGCCAGCUGAAUACCACUGAAUGAACAACCAAACUGUCACUGGAGAUGAAGAGAGGGCCUUGGCCACUGUGCCAGGUGUGCCUGCUACAGUUCUUGGAAAACAGAGGCUGCUCAGUAGAGGAGGGUGAUAUAUCUUCCUGACAAAGCUCCUGCCAGGAGACGAUGUGCAUAACUCAGCCCUGAGCCUUUCUAUGAGCUCUGCCAAAUCCGACAGACAGGUAACAAAACACUGAAAAAAAAGUAAUGUCAGCCCAGCCUGGCGAGUGCCAACACCGCUCCCUUAAUUACUCUACCUAGUGACAAAAGCUAUUCAUCAAACUCGAAAUAAAGUGGUUUUAAAGUCAGAAAUUUAUGUGCCAGCCAGUGAGAGGCUGUAAUUUUGGGGGCAUUGGUUUAAAGCAACAUAAAGCAAGAUGAAAACAAAUUGGAGAGCCAGGUAACUUUUCAUUUACACAAUGGCACCAUCAGGUUUGUCUUUGGUUCUUUCUGAUUUUCUCACCAUGUCUUUCUCCCCACAUUCUAGCCAAAUAAAACUUUUGAUCCAGGCCAAGAUCCCAUCCUGAAGCCAAAAGGAAGAUUAAUUCAUUCUUGAUUUACUUAUUAAACAUUUGUUGUAUUAAAUAAGUAGAGUGAAAAGAAGGCCGAGUAAUCCUGGAGGAAUUUAUUUAUUCAACAAGCAUUGACUACCUACAAUGUGCCAGACAUCAACAAAAGGGCUAGGAAAAUGGUGGUAAACAAGACAGCAAAGAAAUGUUUUCUUAUGGAGCUCACAUAUGUAUACAGAAGAAAACGUAAAUACAUAAGAAGAUGUGGAUAGUGAUAAAUGAGAAUGAUGGGGGGUGGGCAGGGAAACACAAGAAGAGGCAUGUGGAAAUGUAAGCACUAGAGCAGCGGUCUACUUAGUGCAUCUGGUGAAUGGAAAAUGGGCCAGUGUGGCUGGUGUGGGAAAGAGUGGAAAUAGACAAGGUCGGAGAGGUUGACAGGGCCAGAUCAAGAAGGGCCUUUGAGCCAGAAUGAGGAGUGAGGAUUUCAUUCCAAGUACAGCAUAAGCCAAUGGAGAGUUUUAAGCACAGUGAUCAUGUGACCAACACUUAUUGAAAGUGAAGGAUUUGAAAGGGUUUUUGCAAAAGAAGUCAUUAUCUAAUUCAAGAUUUAUUGAGCUUAAACAAUUAUUGAACCUUUGUUAUGUGCCAGGUGCUGACGACAGAAAGAUGAAUAAGAUGCUGACUCUGUCCUCGAGGUACAUACAAUCCAGUGGAGACACACAGUCUUGUGCAUGAAUAAGAACAACAUGGCAAUAAUGAGCAACAGUGCCUUUGUGGGGCAAAGUCAUGUGGUGCCACUUCCAUCUGUUUUAUUAACAAACAGAACAUGGUCUCUUAAAAGAGGCUUUUCUGGAUGUGCUUUUUGUUUUUUUAAGUGCUGAAAGCUAGGUACCUAUAUUAUAUCCUUGAUUUUGUCUCAUGUCCUGAAAAGCCUAAAAUGUGGAUCUUUAUCAAAAAAGAAUGCCAAAUCUUGUUUUAAAACUGGAAUGCUGUGGAACACAAUGUUUCCCAGAGAGAAAUCCCUGAAAUUCUAUUCCCACUGAUCUUCAAUGCAGAAGAGGUACCAUGGUCAAAUGAAGGCCCUGACAAUUCCUGAAGUAAUAACAAAUUCACGACCACAAUCAAAUGAACGUGCAAAUCCAUUUCACUGUGUUUAACUGAAUGUUUUUCAAUAUCUGUGAAGACAGACUGUUCAUUGGAAAACAAUCCUCAAAAUGCACAUUGGGCCCUGGCCGUGAGCUGGGUUCUGUCUGGCACACUCCUGUGUUCUCU
RNAcentral lists this long non-coding RNA (2136 nucleotides) under Homo sapiens (human). Its description in RNAcentral is "HSALNT0063019". Lineage: Eukaryota; Metazoa; Chordata; Mammalia; Primates; Hominidae. The record is from RNAcentral.